This 460-nucleotide ribosomal RNA is filed under the name uncultured bacterium. RNAcentral's name for it is "partial 16S ribosomal RNA". It matches the Rfam family "Bacterial small subunit ribosomal RNA", at positions 338 to 795 of the family's 1533-position model. The record is from RNAcentral.
CCUACGGGAGGCAGCAGUGAGGAAUAUUGGUCAAUGGGCGCGAGCCUGAACCAGCCAAGUAGCGUGAAGGAUGACUGCCCUACGGGUUGUAAACCUCUUUUGCCGGGGAGCAACGGGCGUCACGUGUGGCGCCACUGAGAGUACCCGGAGAAAAAGCAUCGGCAAACUCCGUGCCAGCAGCCGCGGUAAUACGGAGGAUGCGAGCGUUAUCCGGAUUUAUUGGGUUUAAGGGGUGCGUAGGCGGAUCGUUAAGUCAGUGGUCAAAUUGAGGGGCUCAACCCCUUCCCGCCAUUGAAACUGGCGUUCUUGAGUGGAAGAGAAGUAUGCGGAAUGCGUGGUGUAGCGGUGAAAUGCAUAGAUAUCACGCAGAACCCCGAUUGCGAAGGCAGCAUGCCGGCUUCCGACUGACGCUGAAGCACGAAAGCGUGGGGAUCGAACAGGAUUAGAUACCCCAGUAGUC